RNAcentral lists this ribosomal RNA (492 nucleotides) under uncultured bacterium. Its description in RNAcentral is "partial 16S ribosomal RNA". It matches the Rfam family "Bacterial small subunit ribosomal RNA", at positions 29 to 507 of the family's 1533-position model. The record is from RNAcentral.
AGCGAACGCUGGCGGUAGGCCUAACACAUGCAAGUCGAACGGCAGCACAGUAAGAGCUUGCUCUUACGGGUGGCGAGUGGCGGACGGGUGAGGAAUACAUCGGAAUCUACUUUUUCGUGGGGGAUAACGUAGGGAAACUUACGCUAAUACCGCAUACGACCUACGGGUGAAAGCAGGGGAUCUUCGGACCUUGCGCGAUUGAAUGAGCCGAUGUCGGAUUAGCUAGUUGGCGGGGUAAAGGCCCACCAAGGCGACGAUCCGUAGCUGGUCUGAGAGGAUGAUCAGCCACACUGGAACUGAGACACGGUCCAGACUCCUACGGGAGGCAGCAGUGGGGAAUAUUGGACAAUGGGCGCAAGCCUGAUCCAGCCAUACCGCGUGGGUGAAGAAGGCCUUCGGGUUGUAAAGCCCUUUUGUUGGGAAAGAAAAGCAGCAGGUUAAUACCCCGCUGUUCUGACGGUACCCAAAGAAUAAGCACCGGCCAACUUCGUG